GUGAGAGCCGGGGGAUUACGCAAGACUCGGAGAGGAUCGAUUUUGUAGACGGUGCGCGUGCGCGAGAUGGGUGCGAGCGUAUUAUGGUGGCUUGCUAAUGGGCGGGUGGACGUUUAGGAGCGCGGGUCUCUCUUUCAAUGGCUUGGUGGGCUUGCUUUCCUUUCUCUGCGGUAUGGGCUGAAAAGGACGUCCGAACCGCACUGGAGGAACUCUCCAGGCACUUGGCUGGUCUGUCUUUGGUGACUGCACAGUCACCAUCACGAGCUGGAUCACCACUGGGUAGCCUGUAAUCUAUGCUACGCUUUCCAGCCUUGGCACCCUGCUGCCUGAUGUCCUCAGCGCUUUACUUCCUGUCCAUAGCCUUGUUGAGCCUGGGGUCUGCACCAGAACAUCCUCUGAAAAAUGCUUGAACCCUUGACAGCUGUGUCUAAAGAGACGCGGGAAGCUUUACAGUAUCAACUGAAUGGUUUUCCCAUUUUUAAGGUGUUUUUUUUUUCCUAUGUGUAUUUGUGUUCGUGUGCACACGAGUGCAAGUGCUUGCAGAAGACCGAAUAGCGAGCUGUUCACUGUGGGUGCUGGGAACUGAACUUGGGUCCCCUUCAAGAGCAGUAUGAGUUCUUAGCCAUUGAACCAUUUCUGCAGCUCAUUUCUCCCCGCUUUUAUUCAUUUCCCUGAAACCUUGCAGUCCAUGUCUUGUGUGCCUAUUAAUUGCAUGGUUUCCUGGCUAUAACAAGAGGGAAAGGAAACUAACAGACUGUUAAUCGCCACCACCCACCCCCACAAGGGCAAUAACAAGGUUCGCCUUGUGGUAGUUGAAAUCAACUUCUAAUCCUUUUUGAUUAAUGAAAUUUAGGGCCACCAUCAAUAACCAGAAAUGAUUUAUUGGGUCCGUCAAUGCUACAGACCUGAUGUUGUUGAACUUGCAACUAGGAGAGGUUCUUACAUUGUAAGUUGUUCAAAGAAACCAAGAAGUGUUUUAUGACAUGAACAUUGAUGUAAUUCAAGUUCAAUUGUCCAUAAUUUUAGUGUGUUGAAUUAACUUUCUUUCUUUUCUUAGGUUUCUGGGACAGUGUCUCAUUGUGUAACCGGCUGGCCUGGAGCUAUCUAUGUAGACUAAGCUGGCCUCGAAUUUACAGCGAUCCGUUUGCCUCUGUCUUCCAAGUGCUAGUUCUAAAGGCAUACACUACCACCUCUGGCUUGAAUUAAUUUUGACUGGGAUCUGUGUUUAUUCUUGAAUGAUACCAGCUAAAAGUGGCUUCUGUUCAUGGUGAACCGAUACCCUACCUGGGCAAUACAUACAAAAAAUGUGACAAAACAGCUAAGCCUUCAGCCAGUCGGGCUGAAACUGCCGAAACAUAAUUAUGUAAGAGCCUAAAUAGCUGAGCAAUUGACACAUCUGGAAUUCUGGAGAACUUUGGAAUACACAGCUCUUCUUGAUGGGGGCAUGAACUUUAUUCCAAGUCACUUAGGGUUUUCAGGAAGCCAUCAUGGCAAUUCCACUUCCUCCUCUGGGAAAACUGAGGCUCCGCUGUGUGCUCGCUGCCACCUCAAGUUGGAGUGUUUCUGCCUGAAGUGAUUACAUUAUUCUUUCCCGCAAUGGCAUCUCGGAGAAAUGGGCGCCUUGCUAUUUUGGGAGAUUCUGGAAAGUUCAGGAAAAGGAAGGGUGGCUCUUAUUGGUUAUGAUCCAUGAGAAUAUCUUAUAGACUGCCUCUGCUUCUUGGACCACUGCAAUGUGUGUGAACAGCUGUUGUCUACUACACUCCAUUGUCACUGUGACCUUGUGCUCAAGCUCACAUGGCCAAGGAAGGAUUAAACUUUUCAUCUAUAAUUUAGAAGCAAAGCUCAUCACAAAAUGAAGCCAGUAAAACACGUAUCACUCGCUAGCAAUAAACUAGAAGAUGUUACAGAAUUACCUUAUGAAAAAGGACUAAGUGAUUUGUCAUCUAAACCAAAGGAAAACACUGAACAAAAUCAUUUGAGGAGAAGAUUGGAACAGUUGUCCUAACAUCUGGACCCACUGGAGAACUCACUGAAUGAUGUACUUUGCCCAUGAGCUCUAGGAAGACAAUGGAACAAACAAUAAAAAUGAAAUGCCUGGAAGAUGACCAGCUCCUGAAGAUGGGGAGACACCAUAUGGUUCCCAUGCUGUGGGAGUUCCCACAGUGGUACCAGGUCUGGUGAUUGUCCAGCAGGAUAUACAGGAUUCAGCACACAGUUAGACCUGGAUAAGAUUUAUUACAGAGGAAUGGAAAGUGGUUUAUCUGAGGAAAGGAGAGCCAAGCCUACAAGGUCUCACAGAGCAUGCUUAAUUUCUCUGACAGUGAUUUGUGAAAACAUAUGUGAUAUGUGAACCUGUGAAGAACAUUAUAAAGAAAUGCAAUGCUCAGAGUUUAUUGGAAAUCUGUCUCAUAGAUGUCCUGUUCAUAGUUUCUAUGGUGGAAGAAACUAUAGAUUUAACAGUGAAAAUGGAGACAAAUCAUGAAGCUUUGCUUCUUCAUCUAACUGGAGGCAUCAUCUACUGCUACAGUUCUCAUAGCUCUACUCCUCAGCUCCAUGGUACUGCAGAUGGUUGCUGUCUCUGCUGUCCAUGUCCACAGGAAGCCGAAGAUCUGACUGUAGGUUUGCGGGAGGGUAGUCUAAGGACUGUCAUGGAAUUGUCAAGGCCAGCCGGAGGGUCAGGUAACAUCACACAGCAUCAGAUUUAAGGAGUCUGGAGGAGAUAUCACACAUUGCUCUAUAUACUCUGCUCUGUAUACUCAGGAGUCUCAUGAAACCCUGAGUAGUUCCCAGCUCCCAGGAGCUAUGUGUGAUAUGCAGAAGGGGAUAGGUCAAGGGCUUGCCAGCAGUACUCACAGCAUCUUAGAUGAUCUGAAGGAGGUGGAAUGGGGGUGAUUGAAGGAGCACUGACUGUCAUGGUCUUCUUGGAGGUCAUCUCUAGAUUAAUAGAUGGCUAGGGGUCUGUGGGCCAAGGGGAAUCUACAUUUUUAGAAAUUAUAGAUGAUCUGCUCUCAGGGAUGUUUCUAUUGCUUGUGACCAAGAAGAAAUGACAAGGAAAGAUGGUCAUGACUUGGGAAGGAGACAGAAGAGACAUACAGGAGUAGAGCAGCACUAAGGAUGUCAUAAAAUUCGAGGGAUAAUUCACAAAUGAUAGAAAAAUGAUUAAAUGGGACAUAUUUCCUCAUUUCUCUCUCCUUCCUUUGUCAUGUUGGACCCUUAAUUUCUGCUACCUCCUAAUGCCUUCCCUCCAAGGACAGUGACUAUCCCAUAAUAUCUGGUUGUUCCUUUGCAUAGGCCUUGAUGCCCCAGAGCUGGGUUUGGAUCCAUGGUAUGGAGCAGGUGCCCUGAGAAUGGGCUCUGCGCCCUGAUCUGGACCUUCCCUUAAAAUGUGAGGAAUAAACCCAAUCUGAGCAUAUCAGGGUGUCUCUCUACCUUCACCAUGGGGUUGGCUGUCACUACAUAUACUAUUCCAUGCUCUCCAUAGCUACAAUAUUUUCUGGAUUCCUAUCUAACAAAACUCUUAAACCUUGUUGAUGUUCUCAAAUAAGCCCCAGCCUAACUUAGGAAUAAAAGUUAUUCUUAUUCCUCUUUAUACAAGUGGGUCUAGUCCUCAGACCCAUUCAACCAAAGACUGCCCUACCCUCUCUGCAAUGAACAUCAUCUCUUCGGUCAUCUACAUUCUUCUCAUCCCUAUUGCCUAAGGUGCUGGGACAGUUCAGAGAUGCUGAGUCGGUCUUGCUUUCUCUCUUUUCUUCCCGAUUGUAAUCAAGACUCGGAAAGUACUUACAUCCAUUGAUGAAAUGGUAACUGUUCCGAACCUGAGUCUAAAAUGAGGGAAAAAUUAUUUGUAAUGUUUAUGUUAUUCUCAUAUAGAUUCUCUCACCGUGGUUAAUUUGGGGCUGCUAACAGUUUAAUUACUAUCUGGUCAUUUCUCAGUCCAAUCCACUCCAACACAACACUGUAUUGUGUCCACAGUUGGUUUGUCUCCCCUAGGCUCAGCCAUAUCACACCCAGUGGACCAUUGUAUAGCCUCUACACACUCCAGUUUCAGUGUUUCCCUAGAUAGAGGCUCUGCAUAGAAGAACAGGGUUGUUAGAAACUGAAACUGAUGGGAUCCAUCUGUGUAUUCUUUGAAGCAAAUGUGAUUGUCUUGUAAGUUUUUUUUAAAUAUUUAUAUGUUUGUAUGUGUGUGUGUUUACACGUGUAAGUUCAGGCAUGUGUUGUUCAUAUGCCAUGGUGCAUGUGUGCAGGACAACUUUGGGUGUUGGUCCUCUUCUUGGACAUUGCUCAAGACAGGGUUUCCUGUUCCUGACUACGUAUAGUAGGCUAGCCGGCCUGCUCUCUUCCAGGGAUUCUCUGGUCUCUGCCUCCAAUUUUGCUGGAGGAGUGCUGGCCUUAGAGACUCACACUAUCAUGGCCUGCUUUAUGUGAGUUCUGGUGACACCAACUCAGGUCCUCACACUUACCCAUCAGGCUCUUUACCCACAGAGCCAUCUCAGCCCCUUAUGAACCUUAUGACAUUUUACAAACAUUAAAAAACCUUCCAGCCUGGGGACAUGGCUCAGCAGUUAAAAAUGCAUACUAUUCUUGCAAAGGACCUGAGUUCAGUUCCCAGCACCCACUUCCAGAUGGCUUAUAACUGUAAUUUCAGCUCCAGGGAUCCAUUCCCUCUUCUGGACUCCUUGUGCACCUACACAACGCACACACACACACAUUU
Long non-coding RNA from Peromyscus californicus insignis, 4714 nucleotides. RefSeq lists it as uncharacterized. The transcript has 6 exons. The record is from RefSeq and is a predicted model, not a curated record. NCBI's taxonomy places the organism in Eukaryota, Metazoa, Chordata, Mammalia, Rodentia, Cricetidae.